AUACACACUUGGUUCUUAAUUUCUUCUCCUGUUGCUGUGAAAAAGAAAUAACCUGACAAAAGCGCCUUAAAAGAGUUUCUUGCAGCUUGAAUUUCCACGGUAUAGUCCAUCACAGCAGGGAAGUCACGGCAGCAGCUGAAGCUGCCUGUCAAGGCAGCAGGAGCCUGAAGCAGCAAGCCAAAUGUUCACAUUCGGGAAGCAGAGAAAAGUGGAUGGCUCUUCUCAGCUCAUGGUGCAUUUCACACAGUUCAGGAUCUCAGUGGAAGGGGUGACACCAUCCACAGUGGUUGGUUCUUUCCCUCUUAAUAAACCUCAUCAAGAUAACUACCAAAAAGCAUGCCCAGAGGCCCAACUCCCGGGGCAUUCUAGAUCUCAUCAAGUUGACAGUUGAGAUGAACUGUCACUCUUGGAAACCUCACUGUAGCAUAAGGACUGAAAAGAGCAAGUUCAAGGUCAGACUCACAAACAGAACAAGUUGGAGUUCCAUGUAUUCCAGUGUUGAUGAAUACUUGAGUCUUUUACAUUCUGUCUUUCAAGGUUGUCACUUAUGUUCAGGUGUUGGGGAAAAAAAAAAACUACCUUUCAGGACAAUCGAUGGUCUUCGGUCUUAUUCUAGAAGAGGUGCUGUCUGCAAGCUGGUCAUCUUCAAAGGCUGCAUGCAACUGUACUGAGGCUCACAUGAAAACAGAAACAGCAACAACAACAGCAACAACAACAACAAAAACCUGCAGCAUCGAAGAACCAAACAUUAUGCCAGAAAAGACCUUUCUCCCCCCAAAAUAACACCCAUAAAUUUGGGUUUUUAGAUCAUAGACAUAGCUUGUUGAGUACCACCAUUAAUUUCAGAACAGUUUACACAGCUUUAUGAAUUUCUUUAAAAAUAUAGAAACGAAAUCCUGGGACGUAGGGAUUCAGUUGGAACAGCCAGCUAUACAAAGGCUCUAGCUUAUCCUAGGAUUUAUGUAACCGAAGACAUAUCCAGAAUGGCCUUUCUGAAACACAAGUCAGAAUCCUUCCCAUCCCAGUGUAAAAAACCC
Molecule: long non-coding RNA, 1037 nt
Filed under: Mus spicilegus (steppe mouse)
Lineage: Eukaryota; Metazoa; Chordata; Mammalia; Rodentia; Muridae
Description: lncRNA (ENSMSIG00000011527.1)
Source: RNAcentral